GGCCACAGCCAUAUCACCCUGCAGCCCAAGACUGGUUGCCCACUGAAGCUAAGCAGGGCUGAGCCUGGUCAGUACCUGGAUGGGAGACCUCCUGGGAAAACUAGGUUGCUGUUGGAA
This 117-nucleotide ribosomal RNA is filed under the name Sinocyclocheilus anshuiensis. Lineage: Eukaryota; Metazoa; Chordata; Actinopteri; Cypriniformes; Cyprinidae. The record is from RNAcentral.